Molecule: unclassified non-coding RNA, 390 nt
Filed under: uncultured fungus
Lineage: Eukaryota; Fungi
Description: partial contains small subunit ribosomal RNA, internal transcribed spacer 1, and 5.8S ribosomal RNA
Rfam family: Eukaryotic small subunit ribosomal RNA (bases 1-73)
Source: RNAcentral
GCAAACUUGGUCAUUUAGAGGAAGUAAAAGUCGUAACAAGGUUUCCGUAGGUGAACCUGCGGAAGGAUCAUUAUCGAAUUCUGUUUUGAGAGGAACUCGGAAGCGCAUGCUGUCGCUGGCCUUCCUUUUCGUGAAGGAAAAGGCACUGUGCACGCUUGUGACUUGUUCCGAUCUCAAUAGCCUUCUUUCCACACACACUUGUGCACUCUCGUCGUAGGCUCUGAAAAAGCCUACGUUCUUUUAACAACACACACAUAUGCAUGUCUACAGAAUGUCUUUUUUUACAACUAACUGCACCCGCUUCCUUGGGAAGUCGGUCAGUAAGUAAAGAAGUUAAUUACAACUUUCAGCAACGGAUCUCUUGGCUCUCGCAUCGAUGAAGAACGCAGC